Molecule: non-coding RNA, 357 nt
Organism: Cicer arietinum (chickpea)
Lineage: Eukaryota; Viridiplantae; Streptophyta; Magnoliopsida; Fabales; Fabaceae
Source: RefSeq, a predicted model, not a curated record
UAUUCUAUGGUUAAAUGAUCAAUUACACGAGUCAAAAGGACAAACAUAAUACUUUAUUUACUAAAAACUAUUCAAUUGAAAAAACCAUAGCAUGAGGUUUUUUACAAUAUAAAUUGAUGAAACAAUUUUGUAUUUGAUUCAUGCAAAGGUAGAAGAAAAAAUGGCUAAAACUCUCAAAAUCAUUUAUACUAUCAUCCUUUUUGUGUUCCUAUUUCUUGCUGUAGUCGAUGUUGGUGGUGAUUCUCCAUGUCACGAUGACAUCGAUUGUAUAACUUAUCCGUGUCCCCGUUAUGCUCAAGGAUAUUGCUCAACGGGUCGUUGUAGAUGCACAAGAUCAUCAUGUUAACACUUAAGUUA